This 163-nucleotide non-coding RNA is filed under the name human gut metagenome. RNAcentral's name for it is "Lysine riboswitch". It matches the Rfam family "Lysine riboswitch aptamer". From Rfam's summary of the family: Riboswitches are metabolite binding domains within certain messenger RNAs that serve as precision sensors for their corresponding targets. Allosteric rearrangement of mRNA structure is mediated by ligand binding, and this results in modulation of gene expression. The record is from RNAcentral.
ACGAUAGAGGUUGCGCAUUUCAAAAGUAUCUUUCACGAUGCCGCAGGAGCAGAGGACUGACAGAAAAAGGGGAACGCGCCGAAAGAAUGGAAACCCUGCGAUUUGUAUUCUUGGGCAUGGCAUUAACAGUGACAUGACUGUCAUCACCAGAUGGAGCGCUAUC